CGAGGACAGCCUGUCAAUCAGAAGUCUGGAUGCUGCUCCUCAUGAAAGGGAAAAUGUUUUAGUGCUUGUGAUGUUGACCGUGUUCUUUGUGGCGUGUAAAACUAGUUCUCUUUUAAUGCUUAGAUAAGAAGAAAAUUAUUUUAUAUGGUUUCGUUCUGAUCAGUUGUUCAGAACUGUUAAAAAAAUUCCAUUCUUUUAAAUGUAAUUUUAUUUUAAGAAACAUUUGUACAGAAUAAGGUAGAUACUGGUAUUCACCAAUAUUCCUAAUCUGUA
RNAcentral lists this unclassified non-coding RNA (273 nucleotides) under Hevea brasiliensis (rubber tree). The record is from RNAcentral. Lineage: Eukaryota; Viridiplantae; Streptophyta; Magnoliopsida; Malpighiales; Euphorbiaceae.